RNAcentral lists this ribosomal RNA (402 nucleotides) under uncultured bacterium. Its description in RNAcentral is "bacterial SSU rRNA". It matches the Rfam family "Bacterial small subunit ribosomal RNA", at positions 28 to 430 of the family's 1533-position model. The record is from RNAcentral.
AUUGAACGCUGGCGGCAUGCUUUACACAUGCAAGUCGAGCGGCAGCGCGGGGGCAACCCUGGCGGCGAGCGGCGAACGGGUGAGUAAUACAUCGGAACGUGUCCUGGAGUGGGGGAUAGCUCGGCGAAAGCCGGAUUAAUACCGCAUAAGCUCUGAGGAGGGAAAGCGGGGGACCGGUAACGGCCUCGCGCUGUUGGAGCGGCCGAUGUCGGAUUAGCUAGUUGGGUGGGGUAAAGGCCCACCAAGGCGACGAUCCGUAGCUGGUCUGAGAGGAUGAUCAGCCACACUGGAACUGAGACACGGUCCAGACUCCUACGGGAGGCAGCAGUGGGGAAUAUUGGGCAAUGGGCGCAAGCCUGACCCAGCGACGCCGCGUUGGGGAAGAAGGCCUCGGUUGUAACC